RNAcentral lists this ribosomal RNA (253 nucleotides) under uncultured bacterium. RNAcentral's name for it is "partial 16S ribosomal RNA". It matches the Rfam family "Bacterial small subunit ribosomal RNA", at positions 524 to 776 of the family's 1533-position model. The record is from RNAcentral.
UACAGAGGGGGCAAGCGUUAUUCGGAAUUAUUGGGCGUAAAGGGCGCGUAGGCGGCCUGGCAAGUGGAAGGUGAAAUCCCUCGGCUUAACCGAGGAACUGCCCUCCAAACUGCUUGGCUUGAGACCGGGAGAGGUGAGUGGAAUUCCCAGUGUAGCGGUGAAAUGCGUAGAUAUUGGGAGGAACACCAGUGGCGAAGGCGGCUCACUGGACCGGUACUGACGCUGAUGCGCGAAAGCGUGGGGAGCAGACAGG